UCCGGUGACAAUGGCAUAGGGGGUACACCCGAUCCCAUCCCGAACUCGGAAGUUAAGCCUUAUUGCGCCGAUGGUACUGCACGGGAAACCAGUGUGGGAGAGUAGGACGUUGCCGGUA
RNAcentral lists this ribosomal RNA (118 nucleotides) under Fidelibacterota bacterium. Lineage: Bacteria; Pseudomonadati; Fidelibacterota. The record is from RNAcentral.